Columba livia (rock pigeon) is the source of this 381-nucleotide long non-coding RNA. RefSeq lists it as uncharacterized. The record is from RefSeq and is a predicted model, not a curated record. NCBI's taxonomy places the organism in Eukaryota, Metazoa, Chordata, Aves, Columbiformes, Columbidae. The transcript has 3 exons.
GAAUAUGGUUGUGCCUUAUUUGGGAAUUUACUUAAUGGUCUGGACUCCUACCUGAAGCUGGUCACCAGCUCUGGGCUGGUCUUGCUCACCUACCAAGGGGCUGAGCCCUGGCUGGCAAGGUCCCUGUAUUGCUCAAUGUCCCUUAGGGAUCUCAUGGCCCGUUCUGGUGUGCGUUUUGCCAAAGAGCUACAUGAUUUGCUGCUUUGAAUCACAGGAUGACAAAGGACCUCUAUGAGUCCAGCCAUUGCUCUGUAGAAAUAUCCAUAUAUCACCUAAGAGGAGAUGACACGCGUCUUCUGCCUAUACCGUGAAUUGCAGCUGGGAGUAAAUCAAAGCUGAGGGAGGACCCAGAGCGGCUCUGGGGAAGGCGACCCAGGGGAA